GUCUACGGCCAUGCCACCCUGAACAAGCCCAAGGUCUGAUCUUGGAAGCUAAGCAGGGUCGGGCCUGGUUAGUACUUGGAUGGGAGACCACCUAGGAAGACCAGGUGCUGUAGGUA
Non-coding RNA from Pteropus alecto (black flying fox), 116 nucleotides. The record is from Rfam. Lineage: Eukaryota; Metazoa; Chordata; Mammalia; Chiroptera; Pteropodidae.